AAAAAUUGAUUGAUUGUUGGUUGCUUAACGUCCAGUGGCAAAUAUUUCAUGAAUAUUCAGGACGAGAACAAGUUCACAAUAAAUACAAUAGGCAGGUUGAUACAAAAGAGGCCGUCUUGGGAUAAUGGUCGGAGAAAUUUGGACUGCCACCGGAAAAGGAGGGUAUAUUGGAUAGGGACAGAAAUUUUGCCUUGUAACAGGCCACCUACAGACCCCUCAAAGAGUUGUUGCAAGGGUUCUUAACGUGCAAAGAGCGUGGCUCUCUCUUUACACGAGGCAUCGGAUUUAACGUCCCCCUUCUGACCGGACGUGACUGCGAACUUGAUACAUCCCGCACAGCCAAACGGACGCCACACUUCGGCAAGCGUUUUACUGCCGGUCGGGAGAAGACCAAGUGACCAUAUUUCUAUACCCCAGUCACCCUUGGGGUCCGAAAAAUAAAGAGAAACCAAAUAAAGUGAAAAGGUAAUUAAGAAUUUAAUGUGUGAAUUUAAUUGGUGAAGUACAUCUGAGUGAUGUGAUCCCUAAUUCUCUAAUUGGCUCCAUUGUACACUGCGUCUACAUUAGGCAUCUCCUCUUCUUGAUCUUCUGGCAGUUUAGGGCUCAUUCAUCCACACAGCUAUAUUGUGCAGAAUGGCACAAGCCAUGAUAAUGCUACAUGCCUUUUCAAGGGCCAUACGAAUCUAUAAA
RNAcentral lists this long non-coding RNA (690 nucleotides) under Mytilus galloprovincialis (Mediterranean mussel). The record is from RNAcentral. Lineage: Eukaryota; Metazoa; Mollusca; Bivalvia; Mytilida; Mytilidae.